RNAcentral lists this ribosomal RNA (483 nucleotides) under uncultured bacterium. RNAcentral describes it as "bacterial SSU rRNA". It matches the Rfam family "Bacterial small subunit ribosomal RNA", at positions 501 to 981 of the family's 1533-position model. The record is from RNAcentral.
CUACGUGCCAGCAGCCGCGGUAAUACGUAGGGCGCGAGCGUUGUCCGGAAUUAUUGGGCGUAAAGAGCUUGUAGGCGGUUGGUCGCGUCUGCUGUGAAAGGCCGGGGCUUAACUCCGGUUUUGCAGUGGGUACGGGCUAACUAGAGUGCAGUAGGGGAGACUGGAAUUCCUGGUGUAGCGGUGGAAUGCRCAGAUAUCAGGAGGAACACCGAUGGCGAAGGCAGGUCUCUGGGCUGUAACUGACGCUGAGAAGCGAAAGCAUGGGGAGCGAACAGGAUUAGAUACCCUGGUAGUCCAUGCCGUAAACGUUGGGCACUAGGUGUGGGGGACAUUCCACGUUUUCCGCGCCGUAGCUAACGCAUUAAGUGCCCCGCCUGGGGAGUACGGCCGCAAGGCUAAAACUCAAAGAAAUUGACGGGGGCCCGCACAAGCGGCGGAGCAUGCGGAUUAAUUCGAUGCAACGCGAAGAACCUUACCAAGGCU